GGGUCUCGCAGAGAAACCGGCGGACGGGUGAGUAACGCGUGGGAAUCUACCUCAAAGUUGGACAUAGCCCAUCGAAAGGUGGGGUAAUUUCCAAUGUGAACGCAAGUUUAAAGAUUUAUCGCUUUGAGAUGAGCCCGCGUCCUAUCAGUUUGUUGGUGGGGUAAUGGCCUACCAAGACGACGACGGGUAGCUGGUCUGAGAGGAUGGUCAGCCACAAUGGGACUGCGACACGGCCCAUACACCUACGGGUGGCGCAGCAGGGAAUUUUCGGCAAUGGGCGCAAGCCUGACCGAGCGACGCCGCGUGGAGGAUUGAAGGCCUUAGGGUCGUAAACUCCUUUUAUCAGGGAAGAUUAUGACGGUACCUGAUGAAUAAGCACCUGCUAAUCACGUGCCAGAAGCCUCGGUAAGACGUGAGGUGCAAGCGUUAUCCGGAUUCAUUGGGCGUAAAGUGUUGCGUAGGCUGAUUUGCGCAUUUUGCUUAAAAUGCUAUGGCUCAACCAUAGUUUUCGGCAAAAUAUGGCAAAUCUAGAAGGAUAGAGAGGGUACUGGAACUCAUCGUGUAGCAGUGAAAUGCGUUGAUAUGAUGAGGAACACCAAAGGCGUAGGCAGGUACCUGGCUGUCCCUUGACGCUGAGGCACGAAAGCUUGGGGAGCGAAGUGGAUUAGAGACCCACGUAGUCCAAGCCGUAAACGAUGGAUGCUAGUUAGGCUGAUUUUUCGGCCUGACGUAAGCUAACGCGUUAAGCAUCCCGCCUGGGGAGUA
RNAcentral lists this ribosomal RNA (765 nucleotides) under uncultured bacterium. RNAcentral describes it as "bacterial SSU rRNA". It matches the Rfam family "Bacterial small subunit ribosomal RNA", at positions 78 to 882 of the family's 1533-position model. The record is from RNAcentral.